Molecule: long non-coding RNA, 792 nt
Organism: Strongylocentrotus purpuratus (purple sea urchin)
Lineage: Eukaryota; Metazoa; Echinodermata; Echinoidea; Camarodonta; Strongylocentrotidae
Exons: 2
Source: RefSeq, a predicted model, not a curated record
GCAUUUCUCUGUUACAUUAAUUAGAACGCACAUGUUCGAACGUCACGAUGGACACUAAAUUCGGACAGGCCAGACUUCCGAUGACUAAAGUUGGAAUCAUUAUCGACUCGGAGGAAUUGUGCCCAGAGGAAGAUUCUGAAGGCCCUGCGGCAUCAAUUAUUAGAGCUGUUUGCCAUGUUUCUAGUAACGGCACAACUUAUUGGAACGCCAGUAUUAGAUGUCAAGAUGAUAUCACUCGACAAUUAAUGGAAAUAUUGAUGGCAAGUUACACCAUGAUUACUUUAGAUGCUUUUACAGAUAUGAAGAGGUAGACCGCGGCGGUUUGUAUUAACGUGUGAAUGAAUGGCAACUACGCGCAACAGAGGUUCUAUGGCUUUCUCAGUUCUUCACGUCUUCUGGUCACACGAACUCUCAGAAUGGUCUGGUUUAAUGAUUGUGUAGGAAAAAAAAUAUCGUCCUUGUCUAGUUUAACCGACACUUUUGACUUUUUUUUAACCUGUUUGAAAUACGAGAUAAAUAAUCACAAGAGAGUUCGGAAGAAGCCCAGCGAUCGACGUUUAGUCAUUGUCUGAUCGUAUUGGCAUAUUUUUCACAGAAAUGUACAUGUAAACAUAUAAGCCUUAACUCUAGAACAAUAUUUAAAAACGUUGUGAUUAUUUUCAUUCAGUUUACCCGACCUUUCGUGAAUAAAGGGGCAUGUUUUCACAAAAUAUUGUUUAACCCCAAAAACCGACUCGACGGGAAGAUCCGAUUGAACAAAAUGAGCCUACGCCUAUUUAACUUUACGUCAUC